Molecule: long non-coding RNA, 308 nt
Organism: Zophobas morio
Lineage: Eukaryota; Metazoa; Arthropoda; Insecta; Coleoptera; Tenebrionidae
Exons: 3
Source: RefSeq, a predicted model, not a curated record
GUAAUUUAAAAAGUUUACUAUAUAAUAAACUUUUCAGACUCUCACUGGUAAAGAACAGUCGAUAGAUGUGGAGCCCGCAGACACGGUAUUGCGAGUAAAAGAAGCCAUUGAAGAGCGAGAUGGUAUACCUCCUAGGCAGCAAAGAUUAAUUUUUCGUGGAAAUCAACUAAAUGAUGAGAAAACUUUAGAAGAAUAUAAUAUUAGCUCCGGCAUGUGUUUGCAUCUAAUAGUUGCUCUGCGCGGCGGUGAAUAACUAAUUAAAUAUACCCUGCGAAUACUUUCUUAAAUAAAUCUUUAAUUAGCUUUAA